AUACGGAGGAUCCGAGCGUUAUCCGGAUUUAUUGGGCUUAAAGGGAGCGUAGGCGGACGCUUAAGUCAGUUGUGAAAGUUUGCGGCUCAACCGUAAAAUUGUAGUUGAUACUGGGUGUCUUGAGUACAGUAGAGGCAGGCGGAAUUCGUGGUGUAGCGGUGAAAUGCUUAGAUAUCACGAAGAACUCCGAUUGCGAAGGCAGCCUGCUGGACUGUAACUGACGCUGAUGCUCGAAAGUGUGGGUAUCAAACAGGAUUAGAUACCCUGGUAGUCCACACAGUAAACGAUGAAUACUCGUUGUUUGCGAUAUACAGUAAGCGGCCAAGCGAAAGCGUUAAGUAUUCCACCUGGGGAGUACGCCGGCAACGGUGAAACUUAAAGGAAUUGACGGGG
Molecule: ribosomal RNA, 393 nt
Filed under: uncultured bacterium
Lineage: Bacteria
Description: partial 16S ribosomal RNA
Rfam family: Bacterial small subunit ribosomal RNA
Source: RNAcentral